Non-coding RNA from Mauremys reevesii (Reeves's turtle), 628 nucleotides. The record is from the annotation of a RefSeq genome assembly. NCBI's taxonomy places the organism in Eukaryota, Metazoa, Chordata, Testudines, Geoemydidae.
GGAGCUCUAGGGCGAGUCACUCAGAUCACUGGCAGCAGGAGUGUGUGUCUCUUAUAAAGCGGGGACAUGCAAAUGAGGGAGACAGUUUCCUGUUUAAAUCUGUGCCUCUCUCUGCCCAGGCUGCACCCGGAGACACAAUCCGCAGCCCCUGGGUCUGUGCAGUGACCAGCCAGUCCCUGAGAACUUUCCCCUCCAGCAUCCGGAACAAUGGGAUUUUUGCUCCUUGUAAUUUUCGCUGUAGCCGCUUUGGAAGGUGUCCGGUCCCAGGUGCAGCUGGUGGAGUCCGGAGGGGAUGUGAAAAAGCCCGGAGACUCUCUCCGCCUCUCCUGCAAAGCCUCCGGGUUCACCUUCAGCAGCGCCUACAUGAACUGGGUCCGACAGGCUCCUGGCAAGGGACUAGAAUGGGUGGCGGCUAUAAGCGACGGUGGGAGUCCUAUAUACUACCUUGAUUCCGUCAAAGGCCGAUUCACCAUCUCCAGGGAUAAUCCCAAGAGUGAGCUGUAUCUGCAAAUGACCGGCCUGAAGCCCGAGGACACCGCCCGCUAUUACUGUGCGAGACACAGUGACACGAAACCGGUGCCCGGUCGCAGAUCCAGCCCCUGGACCCCCAAGUUUAUGUGAAAAAGCC